GGAGGGGAGAAGCAGGAGCCAGCAGGCUUCCACGAGGAUGAAGGAAUGAAUGAAUACACGAAGAAAUCUGUCCUUCUGUGUGGAUCCAAUCCUGGAAAUGAAUAUUCUGCUGCAUAAGACAUGAAAAGAGACAGACACGAGGAACAUUCUGUGGGAAAGAUUUUACCAGAGCUGGGAUGGCUUCAUAGGUAUGCACGUGCAACAGGACAAGAGAAGGAAAUUCAAGACUCAGUGAAAAUCAACAGUUUAAAGUAGCCAGCAUUGCUGCGGAUUAUAUGGCCGGAGAACUCAAAUCGCUCCUUUCAAGUCAAGUCCUGGGUGGGUGCUCUGGCUCCAAGCUUCAAACUUAAAAAUCCAAGAUUCCUGAAACUCAGAAAAUCUCUGAGUGAAAGUCAACUUCCUCUUUAAGUGUUCCCCGGGCACACGUAUUUCAUGUUGUGGCUGUUGUUGACCAAAAUGACAGAUAUCAGAUGAAUUACUCCUUUUCUGAGAACCACAAUACUUUUUAUACUAAUUAUGAUGUUUGGAAUGGAAUCAGAAAAGGCUGGGAGUGUAAAGAAAAGGGAAAAAAAUGUUGCUAUUAGAGUGUAAAGGGCAA
Neofelis nebulosa (Clouded leopard) is the source of this 598-nucleotide long non-coding RNA. RefSeq lists it as uncharacterized. NCBI's taxonomy places the organism in Eukaryota, Metazoa, Chordata, Mammalia, Carnivora, Felidae. The record is from RefSeq and is a predicted model, not a curated record. The transcript has 4 exons.